Molecule: long non-coding RNA, 554 nt
Organism: Apus apus (common swift)
Lineage: Eukaryota; Metazoa; Chordata; Aves; Apodiformes; Apodidae
Exons: 3
Source: RefSeq, a predicted model, not a curated record
CUUACGCGACCUCCUCCUCUUUCUCGUCAUCCCGUUGACUCCUGCUCCCUCCUCCUCCUCAUCAUACUCCUCAUCGUGCUCCUUUUGAUGUUUCCUCCUCUCCCUCCUCAUCAUGCUGAAGGGGGGUGCAGGGUGCUCCAAAAUAGGAGCCUUGCUUUUUGUCUUUUAAUGAAACCUGCUAUUCUAACCGCAAAUAACAGACAAUCUGCCACGGGAGUAGAUCCAACAGUACCUCGUUCUCUGUUGCAGCAUCAUGAAGAUCUUUGUGCUGCCCGUGCCGCGACGUCUGCAGAAAGGGCUGCUGCUGAGCUGCUGGAGAAUACCAGUGUUCUGUGUGCAUCAGUGACAGAAGAGAGACCUGAGCCCACCAACACUUCAGCAGGAGGGAGAGGGCCAUCAGAAGCAGCCACGUGCAGGAAGGGAAGACCCAGCUCACAUGAUGGCCAGUCCCCUGUUGGAUGUAGCCUGCGAGCGGGGCUGCUUUCGGGAGGAAGGAAGAGGAGAGUGAGAAGAGAGUGACCGUGGAUGGGCAGAUGUGCAGCAGCUGCCAGCUG